UCUCUCUCUCUCUCUCUCUCUGUCUCUCUCUCUCUCACACACACAUACACACACACACACACACACACACACUUUUUUUUUUAAGUAGAAACUAUAUUGGAAAACAGUUUCCUUAAGUUCUCAAAUUGGUGAACUGUUUCUGGGCCUGCUUUUCACAGACGUUGAGCUUCUCCAUGAGCGUCCCUCAGUUGAAGGUAGACACUGUAGGCAUUGUUGCUUCAUGAUGCUGCACCUCUGACCAUCUUGCUGAGGGAGCCUGGCAGUCAGUGUGAAUACAGGCUAGUGUGAAUACACUCCUCAUGUCUGCUCAGCCUUUUAUCUUCUGCUCACUAAGUACCAUACUCCCCAAAGUGACCAGCAAGCAGGCUUGCUAAAGGCUUCCUUCUACCAUCCUCUCUGUUCAGUGCCAACACAUAUGAAGAUGAAGCAAAAAGAAAAUAUCUUAAAAUGGUCUACCAGUUAAAACACAUUGCCCUGGGUGCCCCCAUUUUAAGUCCUGCAUCAGCGGCCAGCCUCAGAGAGGCAGACUACAAAGAUUGUCUUUCCUGUUCGACUAUGAAAGCAAGCGGUUGGGUACCUGUAACAUCCAUUUUUUUGCUUGAUACACAAAAUCUUGGGGGUGGGAGAUCAUUUCUAGCCUCUGUGUGUCGUCUGAGGCCCAUCCUAACCCCUUCCCUCUGCUUCCUUCCUUGGUAACACUCUCCCAGAAGUAGCUGCGAUGCUCUGAGAGGCCAGGCUGCUCCACCCCAGCACUUGUGCGGAUUUCUGCGGGCUGUGCUUACCCCGCGGCUCCAGCCCCCAUGCCAACAGCACUUUCUUACUUCUGUGAGAAAGCCAGCCAUGCCAGAAGGCUGUGUACUUGAAGAUUUUCAUUCCAGGAGAACCAUAAUCAGUUUGGCCAUCCAGAAUGGAAAGAAGAAGAAAAGAAAAGGCUUGACACUCAGUGGCAGACAUGUAAAAAUUACUGCGUGCCCCCCAGAGACAAAGGACAAGGUGCUACUUAAACACCGAAGCUCAAGUUCAUGGCAAGAAAGUCAAUGGACCAGAAGCCCGGUACUUCAUUGCAGGGCCACAGGAGACCUCUGGGACUCUCAUUCAGAAGUAAUCUGCCCCCCCCUGAGACUUCAUAAAUGUUAAUGAUUAUUUCACCUCAAUUCUCUAUCCAAAAAAACUCCUAAAAUCUGACUCCUCUUCCCCAUCGCCAGAUGACCUCAAAUCCAUUGCACUUCUAGCCUCCGUGGCAGGAAACAUAAAGGGAUGUUUUAAG
RNAcentral lists this long non-coding RNA (1267 nucleotides) under Mus spicilegus (steppe mouse). RNAcentral describes it as "lncRNA (ENSMSIG00000013036.1)". Lineage: Eukaryota; Metazoa; Chordata; Mammalia; Rodentia; Muridae. The record is from RNAcentral.